AGUGAACGCUGGCGGUAGGCCUAACACAUGCAAGUCGAACGGCAGCACAGUAAGAGCUUGCUCUUACGGGUGGCGGGUGGCGGACUGGUGAGGAAUACAUCGGAAUCUACUUUUUCGUGGGGGAUAACGUAGGGAAACUUACGCUAAUACCGCAUACGACCUACGGGUGAAAGCAGGGGAUCUUCGGACCUUGCGCGAUUGAAUGAGCCGAUGUCGGAUUAGCUAGUUGGCGGGGUAAAGGCCCACCAAGGCGACGAUCCGUAGCUGGUCUGAGAGGAUGAUCAGCCACACUGGAACUGAGACACGGUCCAGACUCCUACGGGAGGCAGCAGUGGGGAAUAUUGGACAAUGGGCGCAAGCCUGAUCCAGCCAUACCGCGUGGGUGAAGAAGGCCUUCGGGUUGUAAAGCCCUUUUGUUGGGAAAGAAAAGCAGCAGGUUAAUACCCCGCUGUUCUGACGGUACCCAAAGAAUAAGCACCGGCUAACUUCGUG
Molecule: ribosomal RNA, 492 nt
Filed under: uncultured bacterium
Lineage: Bacteria
Description: partial 16S ribosomal RNA
Rfam family: Bacterial small subunit ribosomal RNA
Source: RNAcentral